This 407-nucleotide ribosomal RNA is filed under the name uncultured bacterium. RNAcentral's name for it is "partial 16S ribosomal RNA". It matches the Rfam family "Bacterial small subunit ribosomal RNA", at positions 28 to 526 of the family's 1533-position model. The record is from RNAcentral.
GACGAACGCUGGCGGCGUGCUUAACACAUGCAAGUCGAACGAAGUGGCGAACGGGUGAGUAACGUGUAAUCAACUUGCUCAUCAGAGGGGAACAACAGUUGGAACCGUCUGCAAAUCCGCCAAAGUGAAGGAGGGGAUUGCGUGUGAUUAGCUAGUUGGAGGGGUAACGGCCCCCCAAGGCGAUGAUCAGUAGCCGGUCUGAGAGGAUGAACAGCCACACUGGAACUGAGACACGGUCCAGACUCCUACGGGAGGCAGCAGUGGGGAAUAUUGCACAAUGGGCGCAAGCCUGAUGCAGCCAUGCCGCGUGUAUGAAGAAGGCCUUCGGGUUGUAAAGUACUUUCAGCCAGGAGCGUUACUCGCAGAAGAAGCACCGGCUAACUCCGUGCCAGCAGCCGCGGUAAUAC